Molecule: ribosomal RNA, 253 nt
Filed under: uncultured bacterium
Lineage: Bacteria
Description: partial 16S ribosomal RNA
Rfam family: Bacterial small subunit ribosomal RNA
Source: RNAcentral
GACGGAGGGUGCUAGCGUUGUUCGGAAUGACUGGGCGUAAAGGGCUCGUAGGUGGCCAACUAAGUCAGACGUGAAAUCCCUCGGCUUAACCGGGGAACUGCGUCUGAUACUGGAUGGCUAGAGAUUGGGAGAGGGAAGCGGAAUUCCCGGUGUAGUGGUGAAAUGCGUAGAUAUCGGGAGGAACACCAGUGGCGAAGGCGGCUUCCUGGCCUGUUCUUGACGCUGAGGCGCGAAAGCUAGGGGAGCAAACGGG